GCCUCCCAAGUAACUGGGAUUACAGUCACAUGCCACCAUACCCGGAUUCAUUGAAGAAGAAUUGAAUUAGGUGAUAGCAAGCCACUUGCAAUAAUGAAUGAAAUUUACAGAAAACUUGAGGCAGAGAUGUGGUUCAACCAGUUACAGGCGCUUUGAAAGGAACCACUUCAACCUGGCCCCAGAUGAGAAAACAGAGACUUAAAGAAUCACCCAGGAUGGCACUACUGGGAUUUCAAACAAGCAAUAUGACUCACAAUUGGGUCUUUCAGGGGAGACCACAAGAAGAGCUUGGACUUUUGCUUCCACGUGGCAGUAACAAGGCGCUUCAACCUUCCCCCGACUGGAGCAGUAUCAGAGGAAACCUGAUAAAACCAAAGAUUUAAAUAAGAUCCAGAGUCUCACAACAUAAUAACCAAAGUGUCCAGGGUUGCAUUUUCAAAAUCUUUCAUUAUUCUAAGAACCAAGAUCUUAACUAGAAUGAGAAAAGACAAUCCACAGAUGGCAGCACUGAGACGGCACGGAUAUUUGAACUGUCCGAAAAGGAUUUCAAAGCCUUCAUCAUACAAUGACUCGAUGAGAAAUUUUGAACAUGCUUGAAGCAAAUGAAAAGUAGAAAGCUUUGGUGAAGAAAUAGAAUAUGUAAAGAAGAGCCAAAUAAAACCUUUAACUGAAAAAAAUACAAUAAAAUGUUAAAACUCACAGGAUGGGCUCAAUAAUAGAUGAAAGAAGACAAAAGAAUACAUCAAUUAAUUUGAAGUUAGAUCAAUAAAAUGUAACCAACUUCAACAACAUGAAGAAAAUACACUGAAGAAAAAAUCAACAGAACCUUAGGGACUUGAGGAACCUUAACAAAAAUCAAUAAAUUGUAUUAUCAGAAAGGAAUAAGAGUGAGAUUAAGAGAAUAAGAGUGAAAAAGUGUUCAACAAACUCACAGCUAAAAUUUUCCUGAAUUUGGCAUAAGACAUAAACCUAUAGAUUUCACAGGCUAAUUGAGCCUUAAACAAAAAAAAAAAAAAACCAAAGAAAUAUAACCAAGACACAUUAUAAUCAAACUUCAGAAAACUAAAGACAGUGAAAAGGUUGAAA
Chlorocebus sabaeus (green monkey) is the source of this 1086-nucleotide long non-coding RNA. RefSeq lists it as uncharacterized. The record is from RefSeq and is a predicted model, not a curated record. Lineage: Eukaryota; Metazoa; Chordata; Mammalia; Primates; Cercopithecidae.